GAUGAACGCUGGCGGCGUGCCUAACACAUGCAAGUCGAGCGGCAGCGAGGGUUGCUUGCACCCUGUCGGCGAGCGGCGGACGGCUGAGUAACGCUUGGGAACGUGCCCCAAAGUGAGGAAUAACUGCCCGAAAGGGUAGCUAAUACCGCAUAUUAUCUUCGGAUCAAAGGAUUUAUCCGCUUUGGGAGCGGCUCGCGUCGGAUUAGGUAGUUGGUGAGGUAAUGGCUCACCAAGCCGACGAUCCGUAGCUGGUCUGAGAGGAUGACCAGCCAGACUGGAACUGAGACACGGUCCAGACUCCUACGGGAGGCAGCAGUGAGGAAUCUUCCACAAUGGGCGAAAGCCUGAUGGAGCAACGCCGCGUGCAGGACGAAGGCCUUCGGGUUGUAAACUGCUUUUAUAAGUGAGGAAUAUGACGGUAACUUAUGAAUAAGGAUCGGCUAACUACGUG
Molecule: ribosomal RNA, 451 nt
Filed under: uncultured bacterium
Lineage: Bacteria
Description: partial 16S ribosomal RNA
Rfam family: Bacterial small subunit ribosomal RNA
Source: RNAcentral